Molecule: RNA transcript, 1711 nt
Organism: Cebus imitator (Panamanian white-faced capuchin)
Lineage: Eukaryota; Metazoa; Chordata; Mammalia; Primates; Cebidae
Gene: XPA
Gene name: XPA, DNA damage recognition and repair factor
Exons: 7
Source: RefSeq, a predicted model, not a curated record
UAACUGCGCAGGCGCUCUCACUCCAAAAGGCCGCUGGGUGAGCGCAGAGGCGGUGCAGGGCGGCGGACUCGCCUAGGCGCGCAGAGCGUGUGCGUGGCGUUGCGAGCUACAUCCUCGGAGGGGGUCGGAGAUGGCGGCGGCCGACGGGGCUUCGUCGGAGGCGGCGGCUUCAGAGCAACCCGCGGAGCUGCCUGCCUCGGUGCGGGCGAGUAUCGAGCGGAAGCGGCAGCGGGCGCUGAUGCUGCGCCAGGCCCGGCUGGCUGCUCGGCCCUACCCGGCGUCUGCGGCUGCGGCUACUGGAGGCAUGGCUAAUGUAAAAGCUGCCCCAAAGAUAAUUGACACAGGAGGAGGCUUCAUUUUAGAAGAGGAAGAAGAAGAAGAACAAAAAAUUGGAAAAGUUGUUCAUCAACCAGGACCUGUGAUGGAAUUUGAUUAUGUAAUAUGUGAAGAAUGUGGGAAAGAAUUUAUGGAUUCUUAUCUUAUGAACCACUUUGAUUUGCCAACUUGUGAUAACUGCAGAGAUGCUGAUGAUAAACACAAGCUUAUCACUAAAACAGAGGCAAAACAAGAAUAUCUUCUGAAAGAUUGUGAUUUAGAAAAAAGAGAGCCAGUUCUUAAAUUUAUCGUGAAGAAGAAUCCUCAUCAUUCACAAUGGGGUGAUAUGAAACUCUACUUAAAGUUACAGAUUGUGAAGAGGUCUCUUGAAGUUUGGGGUAGUCAAGAAGCAUUAGAAGAAGCAAAAGAAGUCCGACAGGAAAACCGAGAAAAAAUGAAACAGAAGAAAUUUGAUAAAAAAGUAAAAGAAGUUGUUCCUGCCUUCCUGAAUAGGCCACAAAGGGCUGAGAUUGGAGUAGACACUGUAGAGAUUAGACACAAGAAGCUUACUGUGCAGUUUUCUCACAAGGCUCAGAACAGAGAGGAAUAAAAGCAAGUCUAAAAGUAUUUUAGUUGAAAAGAAAUUGGAACCUGGUUCCUCUUGGUCUUCUGAUUUUGAUCCACAAAGAAGCUGACACAGUUUACUUCUUUCUGGGAAGAAUUGCGGCGAGCAGUAAGAAGCAGCGUGUGGAAAAGAGAGACGAUUGUUCAUCAACAUGAGUAUGGACCAGAAGAAAACCUAGAAGACGACAUGUACCGGAAGACUUGUACUAUGUGUGGCCAUGAACUGACAUAUGAAAAAAUGUGAUUUUUAGUUCAGUAACCUGUUUUAUAGAAUUAUACAUUUAAAUAAAGGAAAUUAAGAUUGGUCCUAUUCAAAAUUUAAGAAAAUGCAAUGUCUUCAAAGAUGAAUGAAACCUUUAUAUAAGUAAUGCUUCAGUAACAAUUAUGUAUGUUACUGCUUAAAAGCAAGUUUGAGUGAAGGUCCACCUGGCCUGGUUGUGUGCAGAAUGUCAUGUCUGUGAUUGUUUUCUUACAACCAGGGAUGGGAGCUGAGUGCUAGAGUAGGUGCAAAAGUGGUAGGUCAGCUACAAAUUUGAGGACAAGAUACCAAAACAAACCGUAGACUUUGGUACAGGGAAAAGCUUUCAAAAAAGACCGUAGCCAGCUGAACUGGAUUCUUAACCAAGAAACAAAUAGCAAUGGUGGUGUACCACUGUACCCAGGUUCUGGUCAUGUUUUUUUAGGACAAUUUCUGUCUCCACGAUGGCGGAAACAGUGGGGAACUAUUGCUGGGAAACGCCCUGAUAAAUAGCAGAAAUAAAACAAUGGAGUU